GCAAUCCCUGAUUACCUCAAUGCUUUAGGGGCACCUGGAUUUGCAGCAUGGGUGGGGAUAGUGGUGUUAGGAGAGGCAAAGCCAGGUUUGAAUGUGUUUGUCUCAGCAGCCGCAGGAGGCGUUGGUAUGUUUGCCGGUCAGUUGGCCAAGCUCAGGGGUUGCCGGGUUAUUGGCAGCACAGGAUCUGAUGAUAAGGUAAAGCUUUUAAAGGAAGCAUUUGGAUACGACGACGCUUUCAACUACAAAAGGGAAACAGAUUAUGAUGCUGCUUUAAGCAAGUACUUCCCUAAUGGUAUCGAUGUCUACCUUGACAAUGUUGGUGGUAAAAUGCUGGAGGCUGUCCUUAAUCACAUCAAUAUUGGUGGUCGGAUCCCUCUCUGUGGAAUGAUAUCUGAAUAUAACAAGACAUGGAAAGAAAGAGAUGGUGUGAGAAAUCUUUUGAAUCUAGUUGGUAAAAAUGUGAGGAUGGAAGGGUUUUUGGUGGGUUCAUAUUUAAAUCGUUUUCAAGAUUUUUUGAAGGAGAUGGAGGACUAUCUACUUCAAGGAAAAAUUAUCUCCAAGACAAAGACAUACAAUGGAAUUGAUAGCUUUCUAGAGAGCUUGGGAUCUCUUUUUUCAAGCACUAAUAAUGGAAAAGUUGUCAUUCAAGUCAAAGAGUGAAUGAUAUAUAUACGAAAUUCUUGCCUAAGCCCGG
Molecule: unclassified non-coding RNA, 694 nt
Filed under: Hevea brasiliensis (rubber tree)
Lineage: Eukaryota; Viridiplantae; Streptophyta; Magnoliopsida; Malpighiales; Euphorbiaceae
Source: RNAcentral